Molecule: long non-coding RNA, 624 nt
Filed under: Homo sapiens (human)
Lineage: Eukaryota; Metazoa; Chordata; Mammalia; Primates; Hominidae
Description: non-protein coding lnc-RFTN1-2:1
Source: RNAcentral
AGAGCAGUUAAGUCACUUACCCAAAGUCACACAGCCAGUAAGUACUAAAGCCAGGAAUCCAACCCUGAUUAUUUGACUUUAAAGUUCCCCCUCUUAACCCCUACACUGUAAUUCUGCUUGGUUUAGUUUUACGAAGAAAAUAUUUUCUAAUGGCUCCUUGCCUCACAUUGGGAUCCUGCAUUUUUAACAAGAUCCUGGAUGCUGCUGCUGGUCUGAGGUCCACAUGUUGAGUAGCAGGUUCUGAGUGGGAGCUAUUUUUAGCGAAGGGUGGCUGGAGAGCAGCAGAGCAAAGAGAAACAAAUGCCUGGACACCUGUCAAUCAAAGCUGAUCCAACAAUGAACUCACACAUAAAAUAGGUAAUCUGAUUGACAUUAGGUGUCAGUGUGAGGUGAGCAUAGGAAUUUGGAAGGGUGGAGCUGUGGGAGCAGGAUGGAGCAUAGAUGAAGUACUGGGGGAGUCUCACUAGACACAGGUGACUUUUAGCAUGUGUUUUUUACAAAAACAAGCAACAACCAGAGAAAAAGUCAGUGAAUAGCACCGCUGGGCAUGAUUCCACCUAGUGGGCUGAUGCCUCAGUUGAGCAGGGGCUAGCUGAUCUUUGAGAGAUCUCACUUUCCAUACAC